GACGAACGCUGGCGGCGUGCCUAAUACAUGCAAGUAGAACGCUGAAGGAGGAGCUUGCUUCUCUGGAUGAGUUGCGAACGGGUGAGUAACGCGUAGGUAACCUGCCUGGUAGCGGGGGAUAACUAUUGGAAACGAUAGCUAAUACCGCAUAAGAGUAGAUGUUGCAUGACAUUUGCUUAAAAGGUGCAAUUGCAUCACUACCAGAUGGACCUGCGUUGUAUUAGCUAGUUGGUGGGGUAACGGCUUACCAAGGCGACGAUACAUAGCCGACCUGAGAGGGGGGUCGGCCACACUGGGACUGAGACACGGCCCAGACUUCUACGGGAGGCAGCAGUAGGGAAUCUUCGGGAAUGGACGGAAGGCUGACCGAGGAACGCCGCGUGAGUGAAGAAGGGUUUCGGAUCGUAAAGCUCUGUUGUAAGAGAAGAACGAGUGUGAGAGUGGAAAGUUCACACUGUGACGGUAUCUUACCAGAAAGGGACGGCUAACUACGUG
This 495-nucleotide ribosomal RNA is filed under the name uncultured bacterium. RNAcentral's name for it is "partial 16S ribosomal RNA". It matches the Rfam family "Bacterial small subunit ribosomal RNA", at positions 28 to 507 of the family's 1533-position model. The record is from RNAcentral.